UCACAGUUGAACUCAGUUAAACAGCAGCUCUAAACCCUUAAACAACAUUACACUAUUAGAAAAUAUUUUACAAAAAUUUUAACUUACUUUAUCGAGUAAGUAUAGUGUUUUAUAAUUGGCUCAGUUAGUUUUCGUUUCGUUUGAUAAUGGAUGAUGUACCCGUGUUGCUAACAAAGUGUCCCUAUUAUAAUUUUCUACGAGAAUAUUGGUUGGGUUGUGAUGACAGAAGAAUUUCACCGCAAAAAUUGAUCUGCGACGCAGCCAAAGCUUGGCGGAUUCUUCGAAGAUCGGAGCGUUUAAUGUUCGAAGAGGAUGCUUAUAUAGGGGCUCGUCUAGCCGUUGAUCUGUUGUUACCUAUGACUAGCCACUGCCGAAUGAAUGCGAAUAGAAUUGCAAAAAAGUCCGCGAAGGCUAAGACAAGUGCCAACGGGAAAUUGAAUGCGAUGCAUCAACCGAGGCGGAAACCCGUGCGAGUUCGAACGAAAAAAUAAAACCAAAUCGGACGUCGUUCCAGUUAGUCAUAGGAAAUUUUACUCGCUGAGGAACCCACAUACACAUACAGCGUAGAUUUCGUCACUAGUAAAUAUGAAGGGUGAAGAUCAUAUAUAGGAGUUGGAUAAAUUGAAUCAGAUAUUCAUUAUUUUUGCUCGUUUGCGAAGUAAAAAGUAUAUUGCUUGCCAACAAUUAUUAAUGUUGUAUGUAUCAAAUUAUAUUGUGGCUUUCUAUACA
Molecule: long non-coding RNA, 729 nt
Organism: Drosophila hydei
Lineage: Eukaryota; Metazoa; Arthropoda; Insecta; Diptera; Drosophilidae
Exons: 3
Source: RefSeq, a predicted model, not a curated record